ACUAGUGCAGAAAGGGGAUUCCACUACCGGCCAAAUAGACUUUCCACUACUGGCCGCGGCCAGUAGUAAACACACUCGUCGUUGUAAGUCAAUACUUUCCACGACGGGUCUUUUUAUACCCGUCGUGGUAUGUCAGGUUUCUACUGUAGUUAUUAUUUAAAAUUAUGGGGAUUCCACGUCGGGUUUUACAAAUACCCGUAGUGGUAUGUAUGAGAUUCCACUACGGGUAUUUACAAUAUCCGUAGUGGUAUGUAUGGUUUCCAGUUUUUUUUUUUAAGAAUUGGGGAUUCCACUACGGGUAUUUACAAAU
This 310-nucleotide long non-coding RNA is filed under the name Trifolium pratense (red clover). Its description in RNAcentral is "long non-coding RNA (TPRA_LNC011868)". Lineage: Eukaryota; Viridiplantae; Streptophyta; Magnoliopsida; Fabales; Fabaceae. The record is from RNAcentral.